RNAcentral lists this ribosomal RNA (200 nucleotides) under uncultured bacterium. RNAcentral's name for it is "partial 16S ribosomal RNA". It matches the Rfam family "Bacterial small subunit ribosomal RNA", at positions 8 to 207 of the family's 1533-position model. The record is from RNAcentral.
AGAGUUUGAUCCUGGCUCAGAACGAACGUUAGCGGCGCGCCUAACACAUGCAAGUCGCACGAGAAAGGGCUUCGGCCCCGGUACAGUGGCGCACGGGUGAGUAACACGUGGGUAACCUGCCCUCGAGCGGGGGAUAACAUUCCGAAAGGAGUGCUAAUACCGCAUAAGACCACGAUCUCGAAAGAGGACGCGGUCAAAGC